AUUGAACGCUGGCGGAAUGCUUUACACAUGCAAGUCGAACGGCAGCACGGACUUCGGUCUGGUGGCGAGUGGCGAACGGGUGAGUAAUGUAUCGGAACGUGCCCAGUCGUGGGGGAUAACGUAGUGAAAAUUACGCUAAUACCGCAUACGAUCUAUGGAUGAAAGCGGGGGAUCGCAAGACCUCGCGCGAUUGGAGCGGCCGAUAUCAGAUUAGGUAGUUGGGGGGGUAAAGGCCCACCAAGCCAACGAUCUGUAGCUGGUCUGAGAGGACGACCAGCCACACUGGAACUGAGACACGGUCCAGACUCCUACGGGAGGCAGCAGUGGGGAAUUUUGGACAAUGGGCGAAAGCCUGAUCCAGCCAUUCCGCGUGCAGGAUGAUGGCCCUCGGGUUGUAAACUGCUUUUGUACAGAACGAAAAGGUUUCUACUAAUACUAGGAGCUCAUGACGGUACUGUAAGAAUAAGCACCGGCUAACUACGUGCCAGCAGCCGCAGUAA
This 500-nucleotide ribosomal RNA is filed under the name uncultured bacterium. RNAcentral's name for it is "partial 16S ribosomal RNA". It matches the Rfam family "Bacterial small subunit ribosomal RNA", at positions 30 to 523 of the family's 1533-position model. The record is from RNAcentral.